AUGCUUUUCAUCUUGGCCAUUGACCCCCUUCAGCAGAUCCUCCAACUCGCCUCCCGACGAGGCAUCCUCAAGCCCAUUGCUGCCAGAUCGGCCAGAUGUAGGAUCUUCCUUUAUGCUCACGAUGCGGGCAUCUUUGCGAACCCAAACCAGGAUGAGCUUCACGCGAUUUCGGCAAUCCUAAAGACCUUUGGGGAGGCAAGCGGACUGAUCACAAACCUGAGCAAGACCGAGGUCUUCCCGAUCAAAUGUGCCGGCAUUGACCUCCAGGAUGUGCUGUCGGUUUUCCCUGCCAAGAUUGCCACCUUCCCGGGACACUAUUUGGGGCUCCCCCUACAUUUUCGUCGUCUUAAAGGUGUUGAUCUGCAACCCUUCAUCGAUAGGUUUGCAGGCAGACUAACAGGAUGGAAAGGAAAGCUUCUCAACAAGCCUGGCAGGGUGGCACUCGCUCAGUCGGUCCUCAUGGCCAUGGCCACCUUCCACAUCACAACUCUCAACUUGUCGAAGGGGACUCUUAGAAAGAUCAACCAAAUCAUUCGGGCCUUCAUCUGGCAAAAAGAAGACCAAACUCAGACCUCGGGAGGCCACUCCCUUGUUAACUGGAAGACAGUCUGCCGCCCAAGGCAUUUGGGCGGCCUAGGGAUCAUGGACCUGCAGAGAUUUAGCCGUUCCCUACGCCUACGGUGGUCGUGGUUGCAAUGGACUAACCCAGAAAGGCCAUGGGUGGGAUCAGAGCUGCCGUGUGACCAAUCAGACAUGAGCCUCUUUCGCGCAUGUACCUCUAUUACGCUGGGCAACGGGCAGAAGACUUUGUUCUGGCAUGACAAUUGGACUGGUGAAGGUCCGCUCAAGCUCCUAGCUCCAGAGCUCUACAGGAUUGCCUCAAGAAAAAACAGAUCGGUGCAGAACGAACUCAUGAACGAGAACUGGAUUAGGGCGGUGGCCAGACUGCAGACCAUUCAGCAGCUAGGUGAAUUCGUGUCUCUCUCGAACCACAUUAGUCAGAUCACCCUCCUCCCUGACCAAGAAGACACCAUUUGCUGGAACUUAACCACCUCGGGGACUUACUCGGCCGCCUCUGCCUACGACGCGUAG
RNAcentral lists this ribosomal RNA (1092 nucleotides) under Triticum aestivum (bread wheat). RNAcentral describes it as "partial small subunit ribosomal RNA". The record is from RNAcentral. Lineage: Eukaryota; Viridiplantae; Streptophyta; Magnoliopsida; Poales; Poaceae.